GGGGAAUAUUGCACAAUGGGCGAAAGCCUGAUGCAGCGACGCCGCGUGAGUGAUGACGGUCUUCGGAUUGUAAAGCUCUGUCUUUUGGGACGAUAUGACGGUACCAAAGGAGGAAGCCACGGCUAACUACGUGCCAGCAGCCGCGGUAAUACGUAGGUGGCAAGCGUUGUCCGGAUUUACUGGGCGUAAAGGAUGUGUAGGCGGAUACUUAAGUGAGAUGUGAAAGCCCCGGGCUCAACCUGGGGACUGCAUUUCAAACUGGGUAUCUAGAGUGCAGGAGAGGAAAGCGGAAUUCCUAGUGUAGCGGUGAAAUGCGUAGAGAUUAGGAAGAACAUCAGUGGCGAAGGCGGCUUUCUGGACUGUAACUGACGCUGAGGCAUGAAAGCGUGGGGAGCAAAC
This 399-nucleotide ribosomal RNA is filed under the name uncultured bacterium. RNAcentral's name for it is "bacterial SSU rRNA". It matches the Rfam family "Bacterial small subunit ribosomal RNA", at positions 356 to 773 of the family's 1533-position model. The record is from RNAcentral.